This 497-nucleotide ribosomal RNA is filed under the name uncultured bacterium. RNAcentral describes it as "partial 16S ribosomal RNA". It matches the Rfam family "Bacterial small subunit ribosomal RNA", at positions 28 to 507 of the family's 1533-position model. The record is from RNAcentral.
GAUGAACGCUGGCGGCGUGCCUAAUACAUGCAAGUCGAGCGAACGGACGAGAAGCUUGCUUCUCUGAUGUUAGCGGCGGACGGGUGAGUAACACGUGGAUAACCUACCUAUAAGACUGGGAUAACUUCGGGAAACCGGAGCUAAUACCGGAUAAUAUUUUGAACCGCAUGGUUCAAAAGUGAAAGACGGUCUUGCUGUCACUUAUAGAUGGAUCCGCGCUGCAUUAGCUAGUUGGGAAGGUAACGGCUUAACAAGGCAACGAUGCAUAGCCGACCUGAGAGGGUGAUCGGCCACACUGGAACGGAGACACGGUCCAGACUCCUACGGGAGGCAGCAGUAGGGAAUCUUCCGCAAUGGGCGAAAGCCUGACGGAGCAACGCCGCGUGAGUGAUGAAGGUCUUCGGAUCGUAAAACUCUGUUAUUAGGGAAGAACAUAUGUGUAAGUAACUGUGCACAUCUUGACGGUACCUAAUCAGAAAGCCCCGGCUAACUACGUG